CGCCAGACUCCUACGGGAGGCAGCAGUGGGGAAUAUUGCACAAUGGGGGAAACCCUGAUGCAGCGACGCCGCGUGAGUGAAGAAGUAUUUCGGUAUGUAAAGCUCUAUCAGCAGGGAAGAAGUUGACGGUACCUGAGUAAGAAGCCCCGGCUAACUACGUGCCAGCAGCCGCGGUAAUACGUAGGGGGCAAGCGUUAUCCGGAUUUACUGGGUGUAAAGGGAGCGUAGACGGCAGUGCAAGUCUGAAGUGAAAGCCCCGGGCUUAACCCGGGAACUGCUUUGGAAACUGUGCAGCUGGAGUGCAGGAGAGGUAAGCGGAAUUCCUAGUGUAGCGGUGAAAUGCGUAGAUAUUAGGAGGAACACCAGUGGCGAAGGCGGCUUACUGGACUGUAACUGACGUUGAGGCUCGAAAGCGUGGGGAGCAAACAGGAUUAGAUACCCCAGUA
RNAcentral lists this ribosomal RNA (446 nucleotides) under uncultured bacterium. Its description in RNAcentral is "bacterial SSU rRNA". It matches the Rfam family "Bacterial small subunit ribosomal RNA", at positions 329 to 792 of the family's 1533-position model. The record is from RNAcentral.